GAAAAAUCUGACUGUAAAAACCAUGAUUACUUUUUUUUUUUUCUUUUCAUCUAUGCCACUUCCUCAAGUCACCACAACAGUUUUGGAAGGUAGGCUAGUGAGAAAUUGAGUGAUUUUCCUGGUGAUUGCGGAUGGCUAUAUGCUACACUGGUAGACUCUUGUUAGGUGUAAGCUGAGGCAGUUAGGAUGAAGGUUGUUUCAGGCAUUAUGUGUAUCUUCAGACAACAGCACAGCCAGAGAUUUGUGAGUGUUGUCUAUAGGUGCUGCAUUUGAAGAAUGCAGAGCUGACUUGAAAUCUGUUGCUUAGCAGUGAAAUGCCCUGGGUGAAUUGCUGUGCUCCCUUUGCUGGAUGUCAGCGCUGAAGAAGAACAAGGGAGGUGUUGAAGGACAUCCAUUGCUAUUUAUCUUCCACCUGUGGUCAGUUGUCACACCUGACUGCAGUAGCAGAACCAGUCUGCAGUCACCCCAUGACUGUUGUUGUGCCACUUACUCUGGUAGGGUGCACCUGGGCUUGUGGUGCUGCACCCAGUCAAUGCAGGGCUUCAGGCAUUUCUGUGGGACCACAGCAGGUUAUUCUGAGCACUUUUUAAUUUUAGCCUCCCUGUGCUUAGUGGCACAGGAACGGCUCAUUGCUGUGCUCACUUAAUUUCCAGCAUCAUCAGCAUUGGGUACUUCAACAGUAGGUGAAGUGUAACUUGAUUUUUAGAAACAUUCUUAUUCUUGACAAUUAAUGACAAAACCUACCAGGGUUUCAACCCAAAUUUCUCUGUGCUUGACUGUAACUCUGGAUAGAUUAUGCCAGACCAGGAAAAUGGGGAGUUGUGAAGAUUGCACGAUCACUGCCUGUGUGAGUGCUAAAUGAAAUAAUCUAAUUAGUUCUUGGAGAGGUGAAGUGGGGAGCUGACACAUGCAUCAGUGACAGCAAGUGGUGGCUUGAACAGAAGCACAUGUGCCUUUCUGCGAAGGAGACCCCAGGGUAGCCAGCUCCUGUUGGAGUGAAAGGACCAGCAUCCCGCUCUUGGCAGCAGCGUGACUCUGGCACACAGCUUGACUGAACUCCCAAGGAAGAAGAGCCUUUCUUUCCCAGCCUUUCUGGCAAAAAAGAGCCAGGUGACAUUGUGGUGGCCCAGGAAGCAUGCGGCUGUGGCACUGGGGGCCCUGAAGACUGUCUGGCUUGCAAGGAAGAAUGCUACGGUGGGCAGUGCACUUGGAAGGUGGGCCACGGAGGGUGAACCACGCGGCCGUGGCCGUCGGGCACAAGGUCUAUUCCUUUGGCGGGUAUUGUUCUGGAGAAGACUAUGAGACUCUGCGGCAGAUUGACGUCCAUGUUUUUAAUGCAGUGUCUCUGCGCUGGAUCAAGCUGCCUCCAGUGUGGACAAACAGCCGAGACCAUGUGAGAGAGGUGCCCUACAUGAGGUAUGGGCACUCGGCAGUGCUCAUAGAUGACACCGUCUACAUAUGGGGUGGUCGCAAUGACACUGAGGGAGCCUGCAACGUGCUCUAUGCCUUUGAUGUCAACACACACAAGUGGUUCACACCAAAGGUGUCUGGAAUGGUCCCAGGAGCGAGAGAUGGGCAUUCAGCGUGUGUCCUGGCAAAGAGCAUGUUUAUCUUUGGAGGCUAUGAACAGCUGGCCGACUGCUUUUCAAAUGAUAUCCAUAAAUUGGACACCACAAACAUGAUGUGGACCUUAAUCUCUGCCAAGGGUACACCAGCUCGCUGGAGAGACUUCCAUUCAGCUACCAUCAUCGGAACAAAGAUGUACGUAUUUGGUGGCAGAGCCGAUCGUUUUGGGCCAUUUCACUCCAACAAUGAGAUCUACUGUAACUGCAUCAAAGUAUUUGAUACAGAAACCAAUUCCUGGCUGGACUCCCCUCCAACUCCAGUGCUCCCUGAAGGCCGUCGGAGCCAUUCAGCAUUCAGCUACAAUGGGGAGCUAUAUGUAUUUGGUGGCUACAACGCACGCCUGAACAGACACUUCCACGACCUCUGGAAAUUCAAUCCAGUUUCUCUUUCUUGGAGGAAGAUUGAGCCCAAGGGAAAAGGUCCGUGUCCUCGACGCCGGCAGUGCUGCUGCAGAGUGGGAGAUAAAAUAAUUCUCUUUGGAGGCACCAGCCCAUCUCCAGAGGAGGGAAUGGGUGAUGAAUUUGACCUGAUGGAUCACUCUGAUCUCUACAUCCUCGACUUCAGCCCCAGUCUAAAGACGCUGUGUAAGCUAGCAGUGAUUCAGUACAGCCUGGACCAGUCCUGCCUUCCCCACGACAUCAGAUGGGAGCUCUCGGCCAUGACAACAAACAGCACCAUCAGCCGCCCCAUCGUCUCCUCCCAGGGCUGAUGACGGCUCAUGCCUCUAGCACCCUGCCCUUGCCCCUCCUCACACACUGACCUCUUGCUCCACUGCCUGCAUGAGUUUUUAGCCUUUUUGAGCAAGAAACCUGUGAGCAUCGUUUGUCUUGCCCUAGCCAGGCCUCCCUCUGCCCUUGUCACGCUUUGGGCAGCACAAGUGUGCAGGCAGAGCAGGCUGCUGGGGAAGAAAUCUGCUCACCCCAGCAGCACAACUGUGAACACCCCUCCUUGCUGAUGGCUCCGGCAUCUCCUGCUUUCCUUCCCCUUGCCUGUGGAACUGCAACUGUGCUGACCUGGUCCCCGGACACUUUCCAAGGGCCUGAAUCAACUCCUACUACCAGCCACAGCCCCAGGAUUGGCCUCGGGCUAUGAACUGUUCCUGUGCUGCCUCGAGAGAGCAGGGACUUCCAUGCCUGCAUCUGCCAGCACCGACCAGCUUCCUGGCACCGGAUGGCAGGCCCCAGCCCAGGGCUGAGCCUGAUGUGGGGGCCUGGGCCCAGCUGGACCAUCUGCCCAGCUCCCAUUGUAAAACAGCAACUGGUGGGAGUUUUAUAAAUGCUGAGGCAGACAUAGUUUCUGCUGCUCGGUGUGUCCUAGCAGGUGAACUGGGGGAGAAAAGGUGUGGGAGGGGAGAAACUUGAACCAGGUGCUUUCCCCUACGGCUGUAGGCCAUCAGUGGCUUAUGGCAUCUGUGGGGCUUGUGGCUGGGGUGGGGGAAGAGGAGCCACUGCCCUGGUGUGCCUGCCUCCUGCCUGGGGCUGUGCUGCCCUGUGAGAGGGCAGGGAGGAAGAUGGUGCAUGUCUCCUGGGCUGCAUUCUCAGGAAGGUGGGUGCCCCACAGCUCCCUGACCCAGGGAGGGAGGUGGAGGAAUGUCUGGGACAGCCUUCCUGGGCAGUGCAGAGUGCUGUGCCUGAGCCCCUUCCUGUGGAGGUGGGGUGUCUGGUGUGAAAAGGAGCUCUGGCAGCAACUGUAGCCGAGCUAAGGCAGGGAAAGCUCAGGGUGUUCCCUGGGAUGGAAAGUCACAGGGCAGCUGAGAGGUGGUGGUGGCUGUGCACCGGGAACAGGUGACAGAGGACCCAGGCCAUCUCCUCUGUCCUGAGGGCUGGCAUGUAGAUCAAGUGCUGCUCAUCCAGCAGCAUGAGGUUGCAGAGGUGCCUGGGCUCCUUGGCCUGGGAAGGCGGCCAGGGCGGGUGCAACGGAGCAGCCUGGAGUGGCACGAGAGCAGUGAAAAUCUCAUGGCAAGAGAACAGAAGGUGCCACAAUUGCGAUUAAGAGCUUGUUCUUCAUGUACUGGCAGCACCUUGCUGUGGUGGGUGAUGAACAUCAAUGGCAGCACUGCAGCCUGAAGAGAGCCAGGGAGUGCUGACAGCACAUCUGGCUCAGGAGCCCCAGCCUGGCCUCCCCCUUUGUCGUCCUUGGCACCUGCAGGUUACCUAUGAGGCUGAUGUGUUGUCCAGCAAUUCCGGCUCCCCUGUUCAACCACCUUGCCACAGCCACAGGCUCUCUCUCAAGCCAUGCCAUGAAAUGGUGGAGGUUGUUUUGCCAUGGCAUCCCCUUCCCCAGCACUGAAGCACUAAGCUUACUCUCCUUGUAGGGGGCCAGGCACCAGGAAACACCCGCAGACCACCCAGGCUCACUGUACUAGGUAGCACAGUACGAAGCACAGAGGCUCCCCAAGGUGCUCCUGGCUCUGUCCAUGAAUGGUUGUCACUGGGUCUUCUCCGGUGAGAAUCACAACCUCUGGGACUUCAAGUGGAGACAAGAGGCCCUAAAGCACCCCAUGCCAGCUGCCUCUAGGAGAGCAAACCUUUGGUGGGGAGAAGGCUUCUCUGGGGGGAAAAAAAAAAAUUAGGGUCACCAGGGAGAGGGUCACAGGUACCCCACUCCCUUUCAGGGGUUCCUUCAGGUUCAGGGGUGUUGUGGCCCUGACUUCCCUCUGCCAGGACCUUGCUGCAGAUUCAGGGAUGGGGCACUGCUCACCACCUUGGUACAGCUGGCUCCAGUAUAUUUUCCUGGCAUACCAGCUCCCUCUCCCAGCACCCAGCUCAGUCAUCAGUGAUGCUGGAGAGCAGCUGCCAGGUGGGUGGACUAGCCACAGGCCUUCAGUCCAUCAUGGACCUUCUGCUGGGCUGGCAAGAACUGUGGGACAGGAGCUGGGCAGAUAUGCACCCCACGAGGGAAUCCCUGCUACCUUCAUCAUCACCCCCUCCUGAGUAGCCAGGUUUGCUUUAAAGAUGCUGGCUUCCUUUUAUUGCUUCCCCUCUCAGAUUGCAGCCGGCUGCAAGGACUAUUUUUAGCAGCCUACUUGCUAAAAAUAGCCCUGAGCUGUUUGGAGUUGCGUCACUAGAGGUAACUCUCUCCAUGAGCAGCUUGGCCCCUGUGCCCCAGGAGGGUACAAAAGGAGGCUGGGAGCAGUGGGGUCAGCAGGUUCAGACGCAGCCAGAGGCAAAGGAGGCAGCAGUGUGCUGCCAGCUUCAGGCAUCCCAGUGCCGGCACCAUGACCAUCUUCUGCAGCCACUGCCACAGGCCACUGCAGGCAGAGAUGAGCUGCCUGCCCAGGAGGGGCAAGCAGGCGCCUGGUGCCUCCAAGCCAUUCAGGUCAACCAAGAGUGCCUCCAAGGCUCGCCGGGACCAAAUCAACGUGGAGCUGCAAGCACUGCGCUCCCUGCUGCCCAUCUCUGCGCAGGAGAAGGAGCGGCUCUCCUAUCUCCAUACCAUGGCUCUGGUGUGCCUCCAGCUGCGGGGGGCUCAGCUGUUCCCUCCAGGUACCCACAGCACAGCCAUACCCCAUGCUAGCUUGGCUCUGCAUGGGGCGCUGCCCCUGCCCCAUCAAGACAGCGCUUCACACCAUGACAACCCUGCGGACUCGGCUCCUGCUGCGGGAGUGGCCCUCAACACGGAGCUGCUCUCCCUGCUGCCAGGGUUUCUGCUUGUGCUCUCAGCCAACGGCAAGCUGGUCUACAUCUCAGAGAACGUGGCUCAGGUCCUGGGCCUCUCCAUGGUGGAGCUGCUCGCCCACGGGGACACGGUCUUUGAUAUUCUAGAUGGGCGAGCUUGUGAGGAUGCACGCAAGAAGCUCCUCCUUGCCCAGGAGGAGCCCGGCAGGGGUAAGGGCUCAGCUGGCAUCUCACAGAUGCUGUGGUCAGA
Molecule: RNA transcript, 5493 nt
Organism: Egretta garzetta (little egret)
Lineage: Eukaryota; Metazoa; Chordata; Aves; Pelecaniformes; Ardeidae
Gene: KLHDC3
Gene name: kelch domain containing 3
Exons: 14
Source: RefSeq, a predicted model, not a curated record